This 526-nucleotide small RNA is filed under the name Pan troglodytes (chimpanzee). RNAcentral describes it as "processed transcript". The record is from RNAcentral. Lineage: Eukaryota; Metazoa; Chordata; Mammalia; Primates; Hominidae.
AGAGUCAGGAAUCAGCUUCCUGGCCUCAGUGUUCAUUGCAAUCCAGACGUGUUCUGAGUUAAAAUCCAUUGUCAAAGGAAUGUGACACGGGGGCUGGUAUACAGGUUCCUCUUUAAUUUGAACUUUAUAUGCUAUCUGAAAUUGAUUAAAACUUUUAUUAAGGUCUUUGUGUUUUUUAAAGGCUAAACUCAAAAUGGGAUCUCCGAAGACUUUGUAAAACAGUUGGUGCUACAGCUCUUCCUAGAUUGGUAUGUAUGUUGGAAAACACUAAAAGAUAGUUGAACAAGAUGGAAUUUUUAUUACAACAGUCACUUUCUUACAGACACCUCCUGUCCUUGAAGAAAUGGGACACUGUGACAGUGUUUGCCUCUCAGAAGUUGGAGAUACUCAGGUGGUGGUUUUUAAGCAUGAAAAGGAAGAUGGCGCCAUUUCUACCAUAGUACUUCGAGGCUCUACAGACAAUCUGAUGGAUGACAUAGAAAGGGCAGUAGACGAUGCUGUUAAUACUUUCAAAGUUCUUACAAGG